This 468-nucleotide ribosomal RNA is filed under the name uncultured bacterium. RNAcentral's name for it is "partial 16S ribosomal RNA". It matches the Rfam family "Bacterial small subunit ribosomal RNA", at positions 28 to 507 of the family's 1533-position model. The record is from RNAcentral.
GACGAACGCUGGCGGCGUGCUUAACACAUGCAAGUCGAACGGAAAGGCCCUGCUUUCGUGGGGUGCUCGCGUGGCGAACGGGUGUGUAACAUGUGAGUAACCUGCCCUUGACUUUGGGAUAACUUCAGGAAACUGGGGCUAAUACCGGAUAGGAGCUGCUGCUGCAUGGUGGGGGUUGGAAAGUUUCGGCGGUUGGGGAUGGACUCGCGGCUUAUCAGCUUGUUGGUGGGGUAGUGGCUUACCAAGGCUUUGACGGGUAGCCGGCCUGAGAGGGGGGCCGGCCACAUGAGGACUGAGAGACGGCCCAGACUCCUACGGGAGACAGCAGGGGAGAAUAUUGCACAAUGGGCGCAAGCCUGAUGCAGCAACGCCGCGUUCGUGAUGACGGCCUUCGGGUUGUAAACCGCAUUCGCCUGUGACGAAGCGUGAGUGACGGUAAUGGGUAAAGAAGCACCGGCUAACUACGUG